RNAcentral lists this long non-coding RNA (620 nucleotides) under Anas platyrhynchos platyrhynchos (common mallard). Its description in RNAcentral is "lncRNA (ENSAPLG00000029872.1)". Lineage: Eukaryota; Metazoa; Chordata; Aves; Anseriformes; Anatidae. The record is from RNAcentral.
GCCGCCACCACCCUGCUUCCCUUUGCUUUGCGCUAUGCAAUGGCUGCUGGGUUGGGUGGCAGAUGCCUGAGGUGAACCCCUGGGGAUAUAGCUGGGCGUGCUGUCCGUCCAUCCACCCAUCCAUCUUUCCGUCCGUCCGUCCGUCCGUCCAUCCAUCCAUCCGUCCGUCCGUCCGUCCGUCCCCGGGCCGCCUCUCCGCGGAUCAGCCAGCAAGGGGCGCUGGGCGGCGGGUUUGCGGGGCGGCGGGUUUGCGGGCUGCGGAUCACCUGCAGCAGCGGGGGGGCCGGGAGCUCCGCCCUCCCCCCCCCGCCGUUAAUCGCAUCCCCCUCCCCCUGUGCCAGGCACUGGCACUGAGGCGGCCGAGCCGCUCCGAGCCGUGCCGAGCCUCGCCAACCUGCUGCAGGCGGGCGGGCACCCGCACCCCGCUCGCAGCCGGGGCCGGGCUGGGGCUGCCGCCUCCGCCAUCCCCGCACUUGCCCCAGCCCGGUAGGGCGGCCAGCCUUCGGCCGCCUCCUCCUCCUCACCGGCAGCCACCGCCGCCGCCCGGCAGAAAGACAGAGCGGGGGAGCCAUGGCCGAGGGGGGCGAGGGCGAGGACGAGAUCCAGUUCCUGCGAACUAA